CAAACGAUUUAAGAAGGCACACACAGACUGAUAUUCAUUUUCAUCUCAUCAUGGCGAUCUGGAAUGACGCAAACGAAGACCUGCUGAUCACCUUGAUCCAGGAGAGGCCAGCUCUGUACGUCAUCACGGAGAAAAGGUACUCUAACCGAGUAGUGAAAACCGGACUCUGGCGAGAGAUUGAAACGCAACUUGGUUUCUCGGAGAAAGAGCUGAGGAAGAAGUGGGAUUCUCUGCGAACCCAGUACACCCGGUAAAGGAGACUUGCCCCUUCGGGUAGCUGUGGAGCACAAACGACUGGCAGACAGCAGUGGAUCCUGACCAGGUUGCAGUUUUUAGAGCCCUACACCAGAAGGAAGGAGAGUACUUCAAACCUCACCGUCACGGAACGUCCGGUGGCUGCAGAAUCCAUCCCCGGGGGCACCAGAAGUGAAACCUCGAUCAGCACCACAGAGGAGUCCUUCCCGUUUGAUGCUGAGCCCUGCACUCCCCUGGCAGAAUCCACCAUCUGCACCACACCGGCACCGCGGCUCGGAGAGAAGCCAAGCACUCGAAGGCCUCCGGCGAAGCGCAGGAUGAUGCAGGAUUCGCAGAAGGAGUCCGCCGUUGAGGCGUCGUCAAAAGCAUUGCUGGAGGAGAUAAAAAUAAGACUGGCACAGUUGGCCCCAGUUGAUGAUGAAAUCGCGGUCCAAGCCAAACUGUUUGAGCACAGACUGCGGCUGUUGCCACCUCAUCAGAUGCGAGGCUUCCUGAAUUUGGUUCAAAAUGGCUUCUAUGAUUGCUUGCUAGAGCAGUGGUCUCCAAACUAAGGCCCGCGGGCCGGGUACGGCCCGCCUCCACAUUUGGCCCGGCCCCCUGAACAAUAGCAGAGAGGCAUUAUGAUUUAUUUUUUUUUA
Long non-coding RNA from Gymnodraco acuticeps, 893 nucleotides. RefSeq lists it as uncharacterized. The transcript has 3 exons. NCBI's taxonomy places the organism in Eukaryota, Metazoa, Chordata, Actinopteri, Perciformes, Bathydraconidae. The record is from RefSeq and is a predicted model, not a curated record.